RNAcentral lists this ribosomal RNA (174 nucleotides) under uncultured Bacillota bacterium. Its description in RNAcentral is "uncultured Firmicutes bacterium partial 16S ribosomal RNA". It matches the Rfam family "Bacterial small subunit ribosomal RNA", at positions 351 to 516 of the family's 1533-position model. Lineage: Bacteria; Bacillati; Bacillota. The record is from RNAcentral.
GCAGUAGGGAAUCUUCCGCAAUGGACGAAAGUCUGACGGAGCAACGCCGCGUGAGUGAUGAAGGCUUUCGGGUCGUAAAACUCUGUUGUUAGGGAAGAACAAGUGCUAGUUGAAUAAGCUGGCACCUUGACGGUACCUAACCAGAAAGCCACGGCUAACUACGUGCCAGCAGCC